CACCGCCCGUCACAUCACGAAAGUUGGCUGUACUAGAAGUCGCCCAGCCAACCCGCAAGGGAGGCAGGCGCCGACGGUAUGGUUGAUGAUUGGGGUG
RNAcentral lists this ribosomal RNA (97 nucleotides) under uncultured bacterium. Its description in RNAcentral is "partial 16S ribosomal RNA". It matches the Rfam family "Bacterial small subunit ribosomal RNA", at positions 1388 to 1482 of the family's 1533-position model. The record is from RNAcentral.